Molecule: ribosomal RNA, 1439 nt
Filed under: uncultured marine bacterium ZD0209
Lineage: Bacteria; Pseudomonadati; Pseudomonadota; Alphaproteobacteria
Description: bacterial SSU rRNA
Rfam family: Bacterial small subunit ribosomal RNA
Source: RNAcentral
GAUCAUGGCUCAGAAUGAACGCUGGCGGCAUGCCUAACACAUGCAAGUCGAAUGAGAUCUUCGGAUCUAGUGGCGCACGGGUGAGUAACGCGUGGGAACCUACCUUUUAGUACGGGACAACGUUUGGAAACGAACGCUAAUACCGUAUACGCCCUCCGGGGGAAAGGUCAGCCGCUAAAAGAGGGGCCCGCGUCUGAUUAGCUUGUUGGUAAGGUAAUGGCUUACCAAGGCUACGAUCAGUAGCUGGUCUGAGAGGAUGAUCAGCCACACUGGGACUGAGACACGGCCCAGACUCCUACGGGAGGCAGCAGUGGGGAAUAUUGGACAAUGGAGGCAACUCUGAUCCAGCAAUGCCGCGUGUGUGAUGAAGGCCUUAGGGUUGUAAAGCACUUUCAACGGUGAAGAUGAUGACGGUAGCCGUAGAAGAAGCCCCGGCUAACUUCGUGCCAGCAGCCGCGGUAAUACGAAGGGGGCGAGCGUUAUUCGGAAUUAUUGGGCGUAAAGGGCUCGCAGGCUGCUUGAACAGUUAGACGUGAAAUCCCCGGGCUCAACCUGGGAACUGCGUUUAAUACUAGCAAGCUAGAGAAAUAGAGAGGAAAGUGGAACUCCCAGUGUAGAGGUGAAAUUCGUAGAUAUUGGGAAGAACACCAGUGGCGAAAGCGACUUUCUGGCUAUUUUCUGACGCUGAGGAGCGAAAGCGUGGGGAGCAAACAGGAUUAGAUACCCUGGUAGUCCACGCCGUAAACGAUGUGUGCUAGAUGUUGGAGGGAUACCUUUCAGUGUCGCAGCUAACGCACUAAGCACACCGCCUGGGAAGUACGGUCGCAAGAUUAAAACUCAAAGGAAUUGACGGGGGCCCGCCACAAGCGGUGGAGCAUGUGGUUUAAUUCGACGCAACGCGCAGAACCUUACCAGCCCUUGACAUGUGGAGUUUGGUUAUCAGAGAUGAUUUCCUUCAGUUCGGCUGGCUCCAACACAGGUGCUGCAUGGCUGUCGUCAGCUCGUGUCGUGAGAUGUUGGGUUAAGUCCCGCAACGAGCGCAACCCUCAUCUUUAGUUGCCAUCAGUUCGGCUGGGCACUCUAGAGAAACUGCCUGGGAUGACCAGGAGGAAGGCGAGGAUGACGUCAAGUCCUCAUGGCCCUUAUGGGCUGGGCUACACACGUGCUACAAUGGCGGUGACAAAGGGACGCAAUAGGGCAACCUGGAGCAAAUCCCUAAAAACCGUCUCAGUUCGGAUUGUUCUCUGCAACUCGAGAGCAUGAAGUUGGAAUCGCUAGUAAUCGUAGAUCAGCAUGCUACGGUGAAUACGUUCCCGGGCCUUGUACACACCGCCCGUCACACCAUGGGAGUUGGUUUUACCCGAAGACGGUAUCCUAACCUUUUAGGAGGGAGCCGGCCACGGUAGGGUCAGCGACUGGGGUGAAGUCGUAACAAGGUA